UAAAGGCAUGCGCCGCCGCCACCACCACCGCCGCCGCCACCACCGCCACCAUCAGCAGCAGCAGCAGCAGGCAGGACAUGGGGUUUGUAUGCCACAGAUGUCCAUUUGUUUUGGCAGUCCAUCACUCCAAGGGUCGUCUUCCCGGCUUGCUGUUUCCUGGAAGGUGAUGUUAAUGACGGUACACUGGUAAAGUUGUGUCAGAAUGGUCCUCACUCCAGCUGGUCCUUGUCCAAUCCUUGGAGAGCAGUGAGGAUAUUAUUGAUGUCAUCUCCAGUUUCCACUGGAGGAAACUCAAAGAGUCAAGGGCCCUGCUGGCGAGUGACACAAAAGAGGACUCCGGAUUCUAAACUUCAUGUGUCCUACCAUUGGUGUGACGUUCUGGUUUACAGCCAGCCCUCCAGCUGACUCUCGGUCUUGCUCCUGUCUCGCUUGUUACUCUGAAGACUUGUCUUUUAACUGAUACCAGCCUGAGACUCCAGAGUUUUAUUUUCAAAGAGGCAGUUGUUUGAGUUUUACCCAUCAUUCUACCUAAGGUAUUUGAGGGUCAAGUCUAGCAGCAGGCUUUGAGCAGUCUGGUUGCACCUUCUUCUUCUUCUGGGGAUUCUUGGUGUAGCCACGAGUGUCUGUCUACUCUAUAAGCUUUUUACUAGAAACUGUAGUUGUGUUGGAAAUAUCUCCUUUGUAUACAUACUUAGAGCAUUAUGUGGCUUUUUUAAAAAAUUAAGUUUAUUUAGAGUGAGACAUUUACAGAGCAAAUGAUUCUUAAAUUGUGGUUCAGGUUGAACUGAGUUUAUAGAAACACACUGAGACCAGGCACAUCCAUAGACCUCAACCCAUUCUCUCUCCUUUCUUUACCAAAUAACCUCUUUCAGAUGUGGCUCAAGGUAGAAUUUGUCCUCCCCACAUUUCGUCCAGUGUUUCUGAGGUAAGAGCUGAUGCCUCCUGAUCAGGCCAGGCCUGUGUUAAUGUGAACCAUUUCUGUCAUUACAGAUGUUCUCAGGAAGCAGCCUGAUCGCUUCUUUCAUACCUCCGUCUUGUCUGUCACAUGACCGUGAAUUGACCUGUUUUGUGUGUGGUUCUUUCGCUCGGCUCUGGCUUCACUUCUAACACCCAGCUCUCCAUCUGUGGCCAGUCAGUGUGGAAACACAGCCAGUUGGCCGUUUCUCAGAUCUGUUGUCAAUAAAUGAUGGUCACCAUCCAAGUUUCUUCUGGUUGCCAUAACAGAA
This is a long non-coding RNA of Peromyscus leucopus (white-footed mouse), 1226 nucleotides long. RefSeq lists it as uncharacterized. The transcript has 2 exons. Lineage: Eukaryota; Metazoa; Chordata; Mammalia; Rodentia; Cricetidae. The record is from RefSeq and is a predicted model, not a curated record.